RNAcentral lists this ribosomal RNA (434 nucleotides) under uncultured bacterium. RNAcentral's name for it is "partial 16S ribosomal RNA". It matches the Rfam family "Bacterial small subunit ribosomal RNA", at positions 29 to 507 of the family's 1533-position model. The record is from RNAcentral.
AGCGAACGCUGGCGGCAGGCCUAACACAUGCAAGUCGAACGAACCUUUCGGGGUUAGUGGCGGACGGGUGAGUAACACGUGGGAACGUGCCUUUAGGUUCGGAAUAACUCAGGGAAACUUGUGCUAAUACCGAAUGUGCCCUUCGGGGGCAAGAUUUAUCGCCUUUAGAGCGGCCCGCGUCCGAUUAGCUAGUUGGUUGAGGUAAUGGCUCACCAAGGCGACGAUCAGUAGCUGGUCUGAGAGGAUGAUCAGCCACAUUGGGACUGAGACACGGCCCAAACUCCUACGGGAGGCAGCAGUGGGGAAUCUUGCGCAAUGGGCGAAAGCCUGACGCAGCCAUGCCGCGUGAAUGAUGAAGGUCUUAGGAUUGUAAAAUUCUUUCACCGGGGACGAUAAUGACGGUACCCGGAGAAGAAGCCCCGGCUAACUUCGUG